UCCGCGUUUUGGCGCGGCAGUGUUCGAAGUAAUAUAACAUCGAAUAGGGGUUGCGCUCGUUGUGGGACUUAACCCGACAUCUCACGACACGAGCUGACGACAGCCAUGCAGCACCUCUGUAGCACCCUCGAAGGAUUCUCCGUUUCUGGAGUGGUGCAGCUACAGUUCAAGCCCAGGUGAGGUUCUUCGCUUACCAUCGAAUUAAACCAGACAAUCCACUGCUUGUGCGGAUCCCCGUCAAUUCCUUUGAGUUUUAACCUUGCGGUCGUACUCCCCAGGCGCCCUGUUUAACGUGUUAACUACGACACUUAAUCCAUCCUAUAACCCUACGGCAAGCCGCAGAAUAAAUCAGACAAAUCAAACAUCUAACAGGGAGUGUUUACAGCGUGGACUA
This 394-nucleotide unclassified non-coding RNA is filed under the name uncultured bacterium. RNAcentral's name for it is "contains 16S-23S intergenic spacer region". The record is from RNAcentral.